AGCGUAGGCGGCGUGGUAAGUCAGAUGUGAAAUCCCGGGGCUCAACCCCGGAACUGCAUCCGAUACUGCCAUGCUCGAGGAUUGGAGAGGUAGCUGGAAUUCUUGGUGUAGCAGUGAAAUGCGUGGAGAUCAAGAGGAACACUCGUGGCGAAAGCGAGCUACUGGACAAUUCCUGACGCUGAGGCUCGAAGGCCAGGGUAGCGAAAG
This 207-nucleotide ribosomal RNA is filed under the name uncultured bacterium. Its description in RNAcentral is "partial 16S ribosomal RNA". It matches the Rfam family "Bacterial small subunit ribosomal RNA", at positions 568 to 774 of the family's 1533-position model. The record is from RNAcentral.